GGAGGAAGAGGGAGUGAGAUGGGAGGGAAAAAGUGUGAUACACACCCAUGCCAACAAGCCAACAUGCACACCAAAAUCAGCUGCUACAGGUUUUUGUGGUCUGCCUGUACACACUGUGAGGAACUUAAGCUGACUGAAAAUUCAGUAGCAGAAAUUGAUGAGCUGAAGACAUUUUACCUCGUAGGGAGGAAGAGGAGGAUCUGAUGCAGUAAUUUGGGUCCCAAAUCCUCUUUGGGUUGUUAAACCUCCAAAAAGCCUCUCUCCCUAUCAUUGUUUGACGUGGAGGAGCCAACAAGACUGAAGACUGUGUUUCUUCUACUGCUGAGAAUACACAUAUAACAUACCUUGGAAAUCCCCAGCAUGCUGCUGCAUUUGCUAAAUGUAGAUUACAAUAAUUUCAAUAAUUAAACUACAGAAUUAUUAAAUGACUUGA
Long non-coding RNA from Pseudopipra pipra, 433 nucleotides. RefSeq lists it as uncharacterized. The record is from RefSeq and is a predicted model, not a curated record. The transcript is spliced from 2 exons. NCBI's taxonomy places the organism in Eukaryota, Metazoa, Chordata, Aves, Passeriformes, Pipridae.